UUUUUUUUUCCCGCUU
RNAcentral lists this small RNA (16 nucleotides) under Arabidopsis thaliana (thale cress). Its description in RNAcentral is "ATSL243910". The record is from RNAcentral. Lineage: Eukaryota; Viridiplantae; Streptophyta; Magnoliopsida; Brassicales; Brassicaceae.